Molecule: long non-coding RNA, 476 nt
Filed under: Brassica rapa (field mustard)
Lineage: Eukaryota; Viridiplantae; Streptophyta; Magnoliopsida; Brassicales; Brassicaceae
Description: long non-coding RNA (BRAP_LNC003703)
Source: RNAcentral
UUGAUUAUUUUGAUUCAUUUAUCCUAAAAUGAUUGCGAAUAAACAAGAGCGAUCGUUUGAUUUAUAUGCGCAUGCUAAUUUAUUUACUAUUUGUAACUGAUUUCUUAGUUUUUAAUAUAUAAUUAUUAUUUUAUUAUUUCAUAAUAUGCAUAAAAACAUAAAAGAAGUAAUAAAUAUAAAAUAUUUAUUAUGUUCAAGGUGCAAAUCUUAACCUUAGUAUAUAUCUCUUUAAUAGUUUCAAAUCUUAAAUAUUUUCUAAAUCUGAGGACAAAAAAAAUAACGAAAUGAGAAUAAAUUCAAAAAUCAAUAUUUAUAUCGAGCAAUAACCAAAAUGAAAAAAAAACACAAAAAUAAAAAAAAUAUUGAAGAUAUUUAGGAUUGACACGUGAAUGCAAACUUUUCAUAGGCAUAAUUAACUUUUAAAUUACUAAGUCAUGAUAUAAAAUCGAGCUUUCAUAUUUUCAUUGUAACCAAAU